Molecule: long non-coding RNA, 506 nt
Organism: Herpailurus yagouaroundi (jaguarundi)
Lineage: Eukaryota; Metazoa; Chordata; Mammalia; Carnivora; Felidae
Exons: 3
Source: RefSeq, a predicted model, not a curated record
AGAGACAGAAGGAUUAAGGAUCUCAUUAAAGUGUUUGGAGCUAAUAAGUGGCAGAGCUGAAAUUUGAACCCAGGGAAUUUCAGAAAAUGAGCCUGACUUUCUUAACUGCUAAGCUGUACUAGACGAUUCUUAAUUUCCCAUUACACCCUCUCCCUGUGUGAAGGACUGUGGACCAUGAAGCAUUCGGACACAGCAGGAUUUAAGGGGAUGUGGAUGCCUGGACAAUGAAACCAAAGAUGGAAGUCUGCCCUCUGAAAUGGCCUAUGAAAGAAUGACAGUCCAGUAGUGAUGACCACAUCUAAUUCCUACCAGAAGGAACUAGGACUUCUUGGAGAAAUAGGCGAUCCUCAGUCUGCAGCAGGUGAGCCUAGGAUCUCUCAUUUCAAAACAACAUUGAAAGCACUCAAAGACUGAACUUGCUGGGAUUCCCACUAGCCAAAUUUGUGAUAAUUCGAAUAUCAAAAAGAAUAAUGAGUCUAAUUGAUUGUAAAGCAUUGAGCAAAUUC